RNAcentral lists this ribosomal RNA (442 nucleotides) under uncultured Treponema clone CFS195p. Its description in RNAcentral is "bacterial SSU rRNA". It matches the Rfam family "Bacterial small subunit ribosomal RNA", at positions 64 to 496 of the family's 1533-position model. The record is from RNAcentral. Lineage: Bacteria; Pseudomonadati; Spirochaetota; Spirochaetia; Treponematales; Treponemataceae.
GAGCGGUAAGGGCAGCAAUGCCCNUAGAGCGGCGGANUGGUGAGUAACGCGUGGGUGACUUACCCCCUGNUUGGGGAUAGCCCCUAGAAAUAGGGGAUAAUACCGAAUACGGUUGUCCGGUUAUGGCCGGAUAAAGAAAGGAGCUCCGGNUCCGCCUGAGGAUGGGCCCGCGUUCCAUUAGCUAGUUGGUGAGGUAAAGGCCCACCAAGCCCGUGAUAGGUAGCCGGCCUGAGAGGGUGAACGGCCACAUUGGGACUGAGAUACGGCCCAAACUCCCUACGGGAGGCAGCAGCUAAGAAUAUUCCGCAAUGGACGAAAGUCUGACGGAGCGACGCCGCGUGGAUGACGAAGGCCGGAAGGUUGUAAAANCCUUUUGCCGCUGAAGAAUAAGCGGGGUAGGGAAUGACCCCGUGAUGACGUUUAGGCGGUGAAUGGGCCCCGG